Molecule: small RNA, 139 nt
Filed under: Paenibacillus uliginis
Lineage: Bacteria; Bacillati; Bacillota; Bacilli; Caryophanales; Paenibacillaceae
Also listed under: 1 other name
Description: c-di-AMP sequence
Rfam family: c-di-AMP riboswitch aptamer (ydaO/yuaA leader)
About the family: This family represents a conserved RNA structure found upstream of the ydaO and yuaA genes in Bacillus subtilis and related genes in other bacteria. The ydaO/yuaA element is thought to act as a genetic "off" switch for the ydaO and yuaA genes in its native state. It is believed that the element may be triggered during osmotic shock leading to activation of ydaO, a predicted amino acid transporter gene, and members of the yuaA-yubG operon which code for KtrA and KtrB K+ transporters.
Source: RNAcentral
UAUCUUAAGAAGCCGAAUUCCCGUUUCAACGGGAAGCGGGGGAACCGUCUUGGGUGAAUUGAUCUCGCAACAGAGGGGUCAUAGGCUAACCUUCAGCCGAACCCUUAAGCUAACCUCGCAGGCAUUGGAAGGAGCUUAU